Non-coding RNA from Zootoca vivipara (common lizard), 579 nucleotides. Lineage: Eukaryota; Metazoa; Chordata; Lepidosauria; Squamata; Lacertidae. The record is from RefSeq and is a predicted model, not a curated record.
GCCAGAGAUGGGAUGGCGACUAUAAGUGCAAGGACACAAGGUUAAGGAUGCCAGUACUAUUGUUGGAAGGCUGCUCAAAAUGAUCUGAACGCAAAGAAUAAGAAGUCUCUCUUGGAAGAGCUGCCCAGAUUUCUGCAAAAUUAUGCUUGUUUUAAAACAAGAGGAGUUCAGUAAACCCAGCUGGAUCACAGACUGUCAUCAAAGAAGCAUUCUAAGGCCAGCAUGUAUUUGAUGCCAAUUGUCUAAAAAUAAAUGAAGACUUUGCCACUAGAGAAUAAUUGUUUAGGACCUUUGCAAUGGAUAGUAGCUUUUAAAAAAUAAAAAAAUAAAAUCUGGAGAAAGAAGAUGCUCUGAUUAAAGACCACACACAUGUUUUAAAGCUACAGUUCAUUUUGCUCAACAAUGCAAGCAAUUGUGUAGGUAAAGAUUCCAAAAAAUCUCCGUGCACACCCAGUAUCUAACAUUAACACAUUUGAGUGCAAUUUAAGCAUUGUAGGUUCAAUUAGUCAGGUCAAAAGUUCUAAUGUAGAUGUGCAAACAAGACUGCUAUUGACAACAGAAAGGACCAGUUUCUUUUUG